GAGGGUGUAGCUCAAGUGGCACAGUGCGUGCUUAGCAUGCACGAGACCCUGGGUUCAAUCCCCGGUGCCCCUC
Molecule: transfer RNA, 73 nt
Filed under: Camelus bactrianus (Bactrian camel)
Lineage: Eukaryota; Metazoa; Chordata; Mammalia; Artiodactyla; Camelidae
Also listed under: 1 other name
Rfam family: tRNA
About the family: Transfer RNA (tRNA) molecules are approximately 80 nucleotides in length. Their secondary structure includes four short double-helical elements and three loops (D, anti-codon, and T loops). Further hydrogen bonds mediate the characteristic L-shaped molecular structure. tRNAs have two regions of fundamental functional importance: the anti-codon, which is responsible for specific mRNA codon recognition, and the 3' end, to which the tRNAs corresponding amino acid is attached (by aminoacyl-tRNA synthetases). tRNAs cope with the degeneracy of the genetic code in two manners: having more than one tRNA (with a specific anti-codon) for a particular amino acid; and 'wobble' base-pairing, i.e. permitting non-standard base-pairing at the 3rd anti-codon position.
Source: Rfam by way of RNAcentral